AUUGAACGCUGGCGGCAGGCCUAACACAUGCAAGUCGAACGGUAACAGGAAGAAGCUUGCUUCUUUGCUGACGAGUGGCGGACGGGUGAGUCAUGUCUGGGAAACUGCCUGAUGGAGGGGGAUAACUACUGGAAACGGUAGCUAAUACCGCAUAACGUCGCAAGACCAAAGAGGGGGACCUUCGGGCCUCUUGCCAUCGGCUGUGCCCAGAUGGGAUUAGCUAGUAGGUGGGGUAACGGCUCACCUAGGCGACGAUCCCUAGCUGGUCUGAGAGGAUGACCAGCCACACUGGAACUGAGACACGGUCCAGACUCCUACGGGAGGCAGCAGUGGGGAAUAUUGCACAAUGGGCGCAAGCCUGAUGCAGCCAUGCCGCGUGUAUGAAGAAGGCCUUCGGGUUGUAAAGUACUUUCAGCGGGGAGGAAGGGAGUAAAGUUAAUACCUUUGCUCAUUGACGUUACCCGCAGAAGAGGCACCGGCUAACUCCGUG
This 490-nucleotide ribosomal RNA is filed under the name uncultured bacterium. RNAcentral's name for it is "partial 16S ribosomal RNA". It matches the Rfam family "Bacterial small subunit ribosomal RNA", at positions 30 to 507 of the family's 1533-position model. The record is from RNAcentral.